AGCGAACGCUGGCGGCAGGCCUAACACAUGCAAGUCGAACGGACCCUUCGGGGUUAGUGGCGGACGGGUGAGUAACACGUGGGAACGUGCCUUUAGGUUCGGAAUAGCUCCUGGAAACGGGUGGUAAUGCCGAAUGUGCCCUUCGGGGGAAAGAUUUAUCGCCUUUAGAGCGGCCCGCGUCUGAUUAGCUAGUUGGUGAGGUAACGGCUCACCAAGGCGACGAUCAGUAGCUGGUCUGAGAGGAUGACCAGCCACACUGGGACUGAGACACGGCCCAGACUCCUACGGGAGGCAGCAGUGGGGAAUCUUGCGCAAUGGGCGAAAGCCUGACGCAGCCAUGCCGCGUGAAUGAUGAAGGUCUUAGGAUUGUAAAAUUCUUUUACCGGGGACGAUAAUGACGGUACCCGGAGAAGAAGCCCCGGCUAACUUCGUG
This 433-nucleotide ribosomal RNA is filed under the name uncultured bacterium. RNAcentral describes it as "partial 16S ribosomal RNA". It matches the Rfam family "Bacterial small subunit ribosomal RNA", at positions 29 to 507 of the family's 1533-position model. The record is from RNAcentral.